Molecule: ribosomal RNA, 270 nt
Filed under: uncultured archaeon
Lineage: Archaea
Description: partial 16S ribosomal RNA
Rfam family: Archaeal small subunit ribosomal RNA
Source: RNAcentral
CAGCACCUCAAGUGGUCAGGAUGAUUAUUGGGCCUAAAGCAUCCGUAGCCGGCGCUGUAAGUUUUCGGUUAAAUCUGUACGCUCAACGUACAGGCUGCCGGGAAUACUGCAGCGCUAGGGAGUGGGAGAGGUAGACGGUACUCGGUAGGAAGGGGUAAAAUCCUUUGAUCUAUUGAUGACCACCUGUGGCGAAGACGAUCUACCAGAACACGUCCGACGGUGAGGGAUGAAAGCUGGGGGAGCAAACCGGAUUAGAUACCCGAGUAGUCC